RNAcentral lists this unclassified non-coding RNA (333 nucleotides) under Melaleuca acacioides subsp. acacioides. Lineage: Eukaryota; Viridiplantae; Streptophyta; Magnoliopsida; Myrtales; Myrtaceae. The record is from RNAcentral.
UUUUUUGGCCCCACCCCNUUAGCUUGACAAUCCCCCUCGGCUUGUCGGAGCCCCGAGANGAGCUAUCCACCCUUUGGGUAGUGGGCCACGGANUNGGGGUUGGNACGAGCUUUUCGGAAAGUAAUUACGGGCCCCGUGAGUUCAUUGGGAUUGAAAGUUAAGCAAGUGGAAGCAGAGGAGGGCGGAGUGGGUUUAUUGAGAAAUUGUUUUUUUUUCGUAUUUCGUCGUACAUAAGUAACAUCGCGUUAAGUGCGCGACGGUCCUUUAGAGGGAGAAGUUGAACGCUCCGGACAUUCUCGAGGGGAGAAAGCGAUUCGCUUCAAGUAAAUGGCC